Molecule: small RNA, 682 nt
Filed under: Rattus norvegicus (Norway rat)
Lineage: Eukaryota; Metazoa; Chordata; Mammalia; Rodentia; Muridae
Description: uncharacterized LOC102551690
Source: RNAcentral
AGGGGGCGGGGGUAAGGGGAUCUGGCUGAACCGUUAAAUGUUUUCUCCGCCAUGAUCCAACAGAAAAAUCUGUGAGCAGCGAUAACUUAGAUUUGUUGCAAUGAGGCUGUCAGUGUAGCGACUGCGUGGACAUCCCCCUGGCUCAGAAUGCAUCAGUACUCACAGAUGAGCUCUGAGGAGAACUGGGGAAGCACCGAGGGUCAGUGACAACACGAACUGGCAUGCUGCCCCAACGUACUCUGGCCUGGGAGCAUACAGACUGGAUGUGAGGAUUUAUUUUGAACAUGGCAGACUGGAGGAUUCAGCAUAAUGAAAGCUCUCAGGAGCGAUGGGCUCACCACAGGUCCAGUGGACCAUAGUUGGGGAUAUGUGUGACCCAUGGCCAUUGGGACUCACCAAUUCCCAGCUUCCAGUCUUCCAACUCAUCUAUAUUAAACUCGCUGAAGCCCUACUUCUUCACGAUGUGGAUCUCCUGCUGCCGGAGAACUUGCACUCGCACUUGUCUUAAUGAUGGGCCUCAGUCUUGUGUGUGUGCGCAGGUCUGCAGCUUGGUGCUUAUGGACACGGUGACCUCACCAAUGUGAAAAUGACCACCAUGCUCUAGACCCUCCCAAGGGCACAGCACACAUCUCUGGAGCCUAGAUUGGAAAGAGCAGGAAAUAAAGGCAUAUGAGUAUCUACC